Long non-coding RNA from Helianthus annuus (common sunflower), 988 nucleotides. RefSeq lists it as uncharacterized. The record is from RefSeq and is a predicted model, not a curated record. NCBI's taxonomy places the organism in Eukaryota, Viridiplantae, Streptophyta, Magnoliopsida, Asterales, Asteraceae. The transcript has 2 exons.
UUUGAGCACACAAAGAUUCAGGCUAAAAUGUGUAACCCAUCAUCCAAACCCAACACCUCAUCCACACCUGAUUACAUCUUACAUAAACCAUAAAGAACACCAUCUCUUUUCUAAUAUCUCUGUUUUUAGGCAUAAACAUUUAACCAUCAUUUAACCAUAGAGUUCUAUCUUUGCUUUCUCUCACUUCAAAUACUCUAAUUAUACGUAUAUAUGUGUUGAGAUUCUGUUAUAGUUCUGCAAUUCUGCUUUUCAUUGUUUUGAUUUCAUGUUUUUCUUGUUCGAUUUGGUACCCAAAGGGUGGAAUUGGAAUAAUGUGCUCAAUUUAGUCUCGUUUCACGAACAGGUGUGUAUUGAAUUAAUUUAUUUUUGGUUGAAAUUGACUGGAUUUUGAAGGUAAAAUAGAAACGUGCCUAUGAAUUCAUUCCUUUUAAUAUACCUUCCUUAGUUCUUCUCGCAAAAAAAAAAAAAAAAAAAAACCCCUAUAAUAACACAUUGUACAGACUCUCUUCUUUGUCUUAUGUUUGAAAAAAAAAAUUGUGGUGUAAAAAACACAGGAAAAAUCUGUUGUUCAUGCAAUUUAUCGAUGGUAGUCGGCAAGCGAGCGUUCAGAUGGUGUUUAUCGUCGGCAAGCCAGUAGGGGUUGAUUUUCUGGAGAAGACGGUUGAAGAUAUAUCACACCGCUUCAUGUUUUAAAUCUGGAGAAGACGGUUGAAUCACCGCUUCAUGUUUUAAAUUUUAAGGUGGCAGUUACAUAUGUGUACCGAAGCGGCAUAUUUGCGGCAACCAACGAAGUAUCGUAUAUGUAUUUGUUGUUAACCAACGUGUCUCAGUUUGUAUUCGUGGGUAAAACGAAGGGUUAUGUCUUAAUCAAAGUUGUAUUUGUUAAUCAAAGGGUAUGUGUGUUAAACAAAUGUGUAUUUAUUAAUCAAAGGGGUAUGUCUUAAUAAAAGGGAUAUAUGUGUUAAAUAAAUGGCUAUGUCUUUUUGUA